CCUACGGGAGGCAGCAGUGGGGAAUAUUGCACAAUGGGCGAAAGCCUGAUGCAGCAACGCCGCGUGAAGGAAGAAGGGUUUCGGCUCGUAAACUUCUAUUUACAGGGACGAAAGAAAUGACGGUACCUGCAUAAGAAGCCCCGGCUAACUACGUGCCAGCAGCCGCGGUAAUCCGGAGGCGGCAAGCGUUAUCCGGAAUUACUGGGUGUAAAGGGUGAGUAGGCGGGAUGGUAAGCCAGAUGUGAAAGCCUUGGGCUUAACCCGAGGAUUGCAUUUGGUACUAGCAGGCUAGAGUACAGGUGAGGAAGGCGGAAUUCGUAGUGUAGCGGUGAAAUGCGUAGAUAUUAGGAAGAACACCGGUGGCGAAGGCGGCUUUCUGGACUGAAACUGACGUUGAGGCACGAAAGCGUGGGGAGCGAACAGGAUUAGAUACCCCUGUAGUC
RNAcentral lists this ribosomal RNA (443 nucleotides) under uncultured bacterium. Its description in RNAcentral is "partial 16S ribosomal RNA". It matches the Rfam family "Bacterial small subunit ribosomal RNA", at positions 338 to 795 of the family's 1533-position model. The record is from RNAcentral.